CGAGGUGACAGGUAACACCAAAACGCAGAAGAAUUUGUCAGAAAAAUAAUAAUAGUUACUCUAACUACAAUUCAGAAUUCAGGCACUCCAAAGUUGGCUUGAGACGGAUUAUCCGUAUAUAGGAGAACAUAGUAAACUGUGGUCCGAAUAUUAUCUAUUUUAUUCCAGCUACAGCCUCUCGAGUACGCUGCUUCGAAAAUCAAGGCGGAAGAGCGAUCGAUAUUUCAAUACUUUGCCCACGGCAAAAACCAUGAAAGAAUGAAAACAUUUAUAUACAGUAUGUAUAUGUGUAAAGAAAUAGAACAUAAAAAAG
Molecule: small RNA, 313 nt
Filed under: Histoplasma ohiense
Lineage: Eukaryota; Fungi; Ascomycota; Eurotiomycetes; Onygenales; Ajellomycetaceae
Description: hypothetical lncRNA
Source: RNAcentral